GAGUGUCUCAAUAUUUGCGAUAAGAGCAAUAAAUUGUCAUUAACAUAAGGAUGUGCGCUGCAUACCCUAAGAGGAAUUCCUAAAGCCCACAUGCCGAACGCUUGACACGCAGCGCAUUCCCAAUAAGAAACGUGAGGUGGCUGCCAAAAACAAAAACAAAAACAAAAGCAA
Molecule: long non-coding RNA, 171 nt
Organism: Drosophila navojoa
Lineage: Eukaryota; Metazoa; Arthropoda; Insecta; Diptera; Drosophilidae
Source: RefSeq, a predicted model, not a curated record